AGAGUUUGAUCCUGGCUCAGGAUGAACGCUAGCGGCAGGCCUAAUACAUGCAAGUCGGACGGGAUCCGGAGGAGAGCUUGCUCGAUUUCGGUGAGAGUGGCGCACGGGUGCGUAACGCGUGAGCAACCUACCCAUAUCAGGGGGAUAGCCCGGAGAAAUCCGGAUUAACACCGCAUAACAACAGGAUAUCGCAUGAUGACCUGUUUAAAUAUUUAUAGGAUAUGGAUGGGCUCGCGUGACAUUAGCUAGUUGGCGGGGUAACGGCCCACCAAGGCGACGAUGUCUAGGGGCUCUGAGAGGAGAAUCCCCCACACUGGUACUGAGACACGGACCAGACUCCUACGGGAGGCAGCAGUAAGGAAUAUUGGUCAAUGGGGGCAACCCUGAACCAGCCAUGCCGCGUGCAGGAUGACUGCCCUAUGGGUUGUAAACUGCUUUUGUCCGGGAAUAACCCCCUCUACGAGUAGAGGGCUGAAUGUACCGGAAGAAUAAGGAUCGGCUAACUCCGUGCCAGCAGCCGCGGUAAUACGGAGGAUCCGAGCGUUAUCCGGACUUAUUGGGUUUAAAGGGUGCGUAGGCGGCCAUUUAAGUCAGUGGUGAAAGACGGCAGCUCAACUGUCGCAGUGCCUUUGAUACUGAAUGGCUUGAAUGCUGUUGAAGAUGGCGGAAUGAGACAAGUAGCGGUGAAAUGCAUAGAUAU
RNAcentral lists this ribosomal RNA (700 nucleotides) under uncultured bacterium. RNAcentral describes it as "bacterial SSU rRNA". It matches the Rfam family "Bacterial small subunit ribosomal RNA", at positions 8 to 697 of the family's 1533-position model. The record is from RNAcentral.